UCGUAAUGUCUGCACUGAAGACGUA
Molecule: non-coding RNA, 25 nt
Filed under: Drosophila erecta
Lineage: Eukaryota; Metazoa; Arthropoda; Insecta; Diptera; Drosophilidae
Also listed under: 3 other names
Source: RNAcentral